CCUCUGGGGUAGCACUUAUUAGAUGGAAACCAACCCCUUCGGGGUGAUGUGGUGAAUCAUAAUAAACCUGUGGAUCGCCGGUGGCGAUGGAUCAUUCAAGUUUCUGCCCUAUCAGCUUUGGACGGUAAGGUAUUGGCUUACCGUGGCUUUAACGGGUAACGGGGAAUUAGGGUUCGAUUCCGGAGAGGGAGCCUGARAGACGGCUACCAC
This 210-nucleotide ribosomal RNA is filed under the name Halamphora montana. Its description in RNAcentral is "Amphora montana partial 18S ribosomal RNA". It matches the Rfam family "Eukaryotic small subunit ribosomal RNA", at positions 194 to 415 of the family's 1831-position model. The record is from RNAcentral. Lineage: Eukaryota; Bacillariophyta; Bacillariophyceae; Naviculales; Amphipleuraceae.